Pseudophryne corroboree (corroboree frog) is the source of this 309-nucleotide small nucleolar RNA. The record is from RefSeq and is a predicted model, not a curated record. NCBI's taxonomy places the organism in Eukaryota, Metazoa, Chordata, Amphibia, Anura, Myobatrachidae.
GCCACAUGAUGAGUCCAAGGCGAAUGUGACUCCUCUGUCCUCUGGGUUAUGACCUCUUCCCAUGGCCCUUGGUCUGUAAUCUUGGUGGCUGUGGAGAAGUAUCUCGCUGCCGCUGUAAGGCCAGACCUACAGCAACUUUAAUCAUUGGUCUUUCUCAGCCCUUGUCUUACCUGCCCACCAGAGUGAGUGUGCAGAGUCUGGGGGGACCUACAGGAUGCUCGCUAAUCUGGAGGGGGUGGGGCAGAGGUCAUUACUCUAACGGAGGUGAUUGGGGAGGCAUGAGCACAUAUCUUUGGUAAUCUGAUGGCA